UACGGAGGGUGCAAGCGUUAUCCGGAUUUACUGGGUUUAAAGGGUGCGUAGGUGGGUCUGUAAGUCAGUGGUGAAAUCUCCGGGCUUAACCCGGAAACUGCCAUUGAUACUAUAGAUCUUGAAUAUCCUGGAGGUGAGCGGAAUAUGUCAUGUAGCGGUGAAAUGCUUAGAUAUGACAUAGAACACCAAUUGCGAAGGCAGCUCACUACGGGAUCAUUGACACUGAGGCACGAAAGCGUGGGGAGCAAACAGG
RNAcentral lists this ribosomal RNA (253 nucleotides) under uncultured bacterium. RNAcentral's name for it is "partial 16S ribosomal RNA". It matches the Rfam family "Bacterial small subunit ribosomal RNA", at positions 524 to 776 of the family's 1533-position model. The record is from RNAcentral.